This 31-nucleotide ribosomal RNA is filed under the name Atrina pectinata. RNAcentral describes it as "partial 5.8S ribosomal RNA". The record is from RNAcentral. Lineage: Eukaryota; Metazoa; Mollusca; Bivalvia; Pterioida; Pinnidae.
ACUACUCUUGGCGGUGGAUCACUCGGCUCGU